Molecule: non-coding RNA, 2223 nt
Organism: Vicugna pacos (alpaca)
Lineage: Eukaryota; Metazoa; Chordata; Mammalia; Artiodactyla; Camelidae
Source: RefSeq, a predicted model, not a curated record
GGUCGUGAGGAGACGUCGGGGUGCCCAAGGCUGAGCGGGCACCGCCUGACCCCAGGCUUCUCCUCCACCGACGCCUCUCAGGAGAAGCGGUGUUCUGAGUUUGGGUUGCGGACCGGGUUGAGGAUUCUGGUGUCCGGGUGACACCGCCUGCCCCUCUGUGCCUCGCUGUUUGCUGACAGUGGGCCGUUUAAAGCGGACUUAGAGGGAAGAGCCGGUUUCUCGAGUACCGGCCCUGGGUUUUGCAGGGAGAGGGCGGGACCUUCCUGGGGGGAGGUGGGCUGAGGAAGAAAGUCCUGGGUGUGAGAAAUGGACGCCCGUGCUCCCCGCAUCGCAUGGGGCGGCUGCGCGGGGGUCCUGGUCGGGGGUGGGUGAGGGCGAGCAGGACCUUGCAGAUGGGUUGGGGUCGCCAUCGUCAGACAGCGUGCAGACGGAGUCAGGCUGCACGGUGCUCUUGACAGAACCGUCGGCCUUGCCUUUCUUGACUGGUGGGUUUCCUGAAGAUUCUUCCCAGUGGUUGAGGGGGGCUGCCCACCCAGACUUGCUGGCUGUGAAACUUCUGCAGAGCUGGGGUUUAGGAAGGAAGUGUUCUGAGCUUUGCGGCGAAGGUGGGUGUCCCUGAAACCAGAUGGCACAGAGGAAAGCGGUUCAUGACCCCACAGGCAGCCCCCACUUCCCAGUGCCCGGCGAGGGUCUGUGGGCCCUGAGGGGGCAGGACUGUGGGAGAGGACUGCAGAGUGGGCAGGAGAAGCAGAGCGGGGGGAACCCUCGCUACUGGGUGGUUCUUUGCAGGAGUGGAUGUCCCGACCCCUGGGGCAGGAAGGGGCAGUUGUAGGGUGAUGGGCUGGAGUGAGCCGUGGGCCCAGCGGGCAGCAGGGGUGAUGCAGGCACAUGCGGUGUGGGGCAGCUGAGGGCCGAGGGGCUGCAGCUUCUGAGUGCCGUACCUUCCGGGGGGUCGCAGCCCCCAGCCCCCACGUGUGCAAGUGUGUACCUUCAUAGGGCGUAUGUGUAUGUGUGUGACUGUGUGUGUGCUGUGUGGACAGCUGCAAGGAUCAGAAUCCUGGUUCCCAUGUACCCUGCCCUCUGCUGGGGUGGGCGGUUCCGCCCUUGCGGAAUUCCGGGCCAAUGACGGCCGUGACCACCUUCUGCCUCGGAGAGGCCGCUCUGCAGAGAGGCUGGGGGAGAGCGUGGAGGAGCGGGCAGCUGGGACGUAGGAAGAGGUUUGGGGGUCACACUGGCCCUCAAACUAGAAAUGGGAGAUGGGGGCCCGGCCAGGCAGGACCGAGACGCCUGCCUCCGCAAAGGGAGAGACCUGUCACGUGAUACCCAGGCUUGGUGGUCCUGAUGCGUCUCUGCUUCCUUCUGCAGUCGUCCUGCCGGGCUCCUGAUGACCCCUGUGCUACGGAGACGUCGUCCUAACCCACCUCUGACUGAUUCCACCCUGACCCCCAGCAGAGCGGUGUCUCCAAUGAGAGUAUGAGAUAACUUUAAAAAAUUCAAAAAGCCUUUGCUCCCUUGAUUACGAAGACGAGGACGAGGAUGACGCCCGAGCGAAGACGGCCGUGUCCUCCCCACGUGACCCCCACGGCCCGCAGCCCCGGCCCGUCGGCCUUAGCCCGAGGGCCUCACUGGAGUGGGUGACCGCCGAGGGUGAGGGCUGGAGUGGCGGGGACCCUAGUGACUGGGACAGCGCCGGGGAGGAGGGUGCCUUCCCUCUGGACCGCAGCCGUGAGCUGGACCUGGAGCAGAUCGAGAAUAACUGAGCGCCGGGCAGGGGGAGCAGCGUGGGGGCUGGCGCUCCGUUUCUUCCCCGUGAAUGUGCUUUUCGGACACGAGGUGUCACUGUGGUGCAGUCUCUCCUAAAGAAGUAUUUUGCAUUUUUAUGGCUUUUACAGUUCUGAGAAAGCGUCUCUAUUUUGACAUGAAUUUUCGAAAGGGCGUUCUGUUAACUGGAGUCUGUGUGCAGACCCCAGCCUGGGGUUGUGUUCCUUUUGUAAACUGCUGGCUGUGAAGGGCCUGUGUGUGGUGUAGCCGUGGGAAACCUGUCCCCCGUGUACUGAACCCCUGGCCUACACUGCCCGCUCCUCCUGCUGUAAGGAGCAGGGCCACGGCGCGGGCUGCCGGCCAGGGUCGGUGCUCUCUGUGCUGAGGACUUGGGACAGGCCUUGAGGGUGGUGGCCUUGGCCACCCCACUCUGUCACUUCAAUAAAAGGCAUUUGCUUUGCA